Molecule: ribosomal RNA, 388 nt
Filed under: uncultured bacterium
Lineage: Bacteria
Description: bacterial SSU rRNA
Rfam family: Bacterial small subunit ribosomal RNA
Source: RNAcentral
GACGAACGCUGGCGGCGUGCUUAACACAUGCAAGUCGAGCGGUAAGGCCCUUUCGGGGGUACACGAGCGGCGAACGGGUGAGUAACACGUGGGUGACCUGCCCUCAGCUCUGGGAUAAGCCCGGGAAACUGGGUCUAAUACCGGAUAUGACUCCAUGACGCAUGUUGUGGGGUGGAAAGCCUUGUGCGGCUAGGGAUGGGCCCGCGGCCUAUCAGCUUGUUGGUGGGGUGAUGGCCUACCAAGGCGACGACGGGUAGCCGGCCUGAGAGGGCGACCGGCCACACUGGGACUGAGAUACGGCCCAGACUCCUACGGGAGGCAGCAGUGGGGAAUCUUGCGCAAUGGGCGAAAGCCUGACGCAGCGACGCCGCGUGAGGGAUGACGGCCU